GCGAGUUCAACUCUCUAUAACCAUUGUGAACGAACAGCUUCGUUGCCUUCGGCAGCGCACACCCAGCGGGCCUCCUGGAGCCCCGGGGCCGCCUGCCGAAAGAACGCAAACUCUUGUAACCACUGUAUCUCUGAGUGACUUAUUCAAUAAGUUA
This 154-nucleotide unclassified non-coding RNA is filed under the name soil metagenome. RNAcentral describes it as "partial internal transcribed spacer 1". The record is from RNAcentral.